GACAGAGGGGGCAAGCGUUGCUCGGAAUCACUGGGCGUAAAGGGCGCGUAGGCGGGAUGGCGAGUCGGUCGUGAAAUCCCUCGGCUCAACUGAGGGGGGUCGGCCGAUACUGCCGUUCUUGAGGGAUGCAGAGGAGACUGGAAUUCCCGGUGUAGCGGUGAAAUGUGUAGAGAUCGGGAGGAACACCGGUGGCGAAGGCGGGUCUCUGGGCAUUCCCUGACGCUGAGGCGCGAAAGCGUGGGGAGCAAACGGG
This 253-nucleotide ribosomal RNA is filed under the name uncultured bacterium. RNAcentral describes it as "partial 16S ribosomal RNA". It matches the Rfam family "Bacterial small subunit ribosomal RNA", at positions 524 to 776 of the family's 1533-position model. The record is from RNAcentral.